Molecule: transfer RNA, 69 nt
Filed under: Amblygaster sirm (spotted sardinella)
Lineage: Eukaryota; Metazoa; Chordata; Actinopteri; Clupeiformes; Clupeidae
Description: tRNA-Asp
Source: RNAcentral
AAGGUACUAGUAAAACCAUUACCCUGCCUUGUCAGAGCAGAAUCGCGGGUUAGACCCCUGCGUACCUUA